GGCUUCAUGCCCUGGUGCUGUCAGAGCAGCACGUGGGGCCUGGGGAAUUCUCUCUCCUGCCUUUAUGGUUUGAAACGGUGUCCCUCUUGCCACCUCUGAGAUGACUAGGUGCGCAUUUGCCGGCUGAGUCUGCCCUUCUAAAAAAUCCCAGCUCCCGCGGCCCAGGUCCAGGUGUGCCUGGAGGAACACCUACCUCCUCACCUGACGGCCCGCGUGUUUCUGGUAGGUGCCCCUUACAGCAGAGUGCAGGCUUCCCUGCUCCAGGGAGCUGUGUUUUCUUUUUUGUGGCCCCCUCGAUUAUUCCCUGUGGAGAUGGCUGCAGCCGAGCCGCAGUGGGCUGGAUGGGCGGUGUCCAUGCAGGGAACACAGUGCUUGGAUGCUGUCCUGGGAAAGGUGGCGGCGUCCGUUUCCCCAGCAGGUGUCUUGCUGAGCACCUGUGACGAGCCUGUCCUGUCCUAUAGUGUGUAAUGUGUGGGGCCUUCUCCACACAGGCUGGGGCUGUGGAGAAGACUCUUUUUGACAUUUCCCCUGCUCCAGGUGCUCCGGUGGGAAUGCUUGGUGAGGACCCCCCAGUCCAUGUUCGCUGCAGCGACCCGAACGUCAUCUGUGAGACCCAGAAUGUGGGCCCCGGGGAACCACGGGACAUAUUUCUGAAGGUGGCCAGUGGUCCAAGCCCGGAGAUCAAAGACUUCUUUGUCAUCAUUUACUCGUAAGUGCACAGGCUUUGGGGACCUGGAGGCGGUGGCGGAGGAGAGGAGGAGGCAGGCCUGGGGCUGCUGGUGGAUUGAAAGUGGGCUUGGCCCCUUCCUAAAAUUGGGGGAGCUUUCGGGCCUUCGCUUUGUGAGGCGGGAUUCUGCUGCGAGUUCAGGGCCCGCAGGGGUCUAGGGAAGGCACCUUGGAGGGGCACGUGCAGCCUGAGGGACUUGGGAUGCAGCUCCUGCCACCAAGGAGAGACACCAGUCAGCCUCUGUCCCCAGAUAGUGGCAAGGGCCACCCAGAAGCCCCUCAUUACCUUUUUCUUGCUGAGUCCCUAGGCUGAACAGCAUGAAUGAAGCUGUGGUCCCUCCUGCGGAGAGGCAGGACUGUGGUGGAAAUGCCCAUCCCUCUCUCCUCCAGGCUAAAUGACCCGGCCCCUUUCCCCUCCCCUCCUAAGUCGGAUCCCCAAGCCCUGUGAGAAUCCUUUCAAACUGGUGUGAGCUCGGAGAUUUCCUGCAGUGCUUCUGAGGAUGGGGCAGGGGCUAACCUGCACUCAGUGCCCACCACAGAGGGGCCACGUGACCACGUCUCAGAGUGGCUUCCUCGUGAGCCCAUGAAGAUGCCUCACCCAGCCCCAUUUGACUGUGAAGCAGCAGGCUCUUGGCCCUAAAAUGCUAACAGGGGCUUCCGUGCUCAGGCCGGCAUGACCUCCAGCCCCACCCUGUCUCCUGCGUGGCGCUGCCCUUGGCUUAGCCUCAGAACCCCUAUUGGGGGUGGACACUUGUCCAGGAUGUGUGUUUGGCCAAAGCGUGCCUUGUCAUUUGUUUGACAUGUGGUUCCUAAGCAGCCCUGCUGCGCCCUGAGAGCCUCUGCUGUGGGUGGGAGAUGGGCAGCCAGGGGUGGAGCCACCAGGCCCUAGCUCUGCCUCCUGGGGCCUGGUCCUCCGGGGCUUUCCCUGCGUGGCCCCAGCUCUGCCUCCUGUGGCCUGGUCCUCUGGGGCUUUCCCUGCACAGCCUCCUGUCUGCCCACGCUCCUGGCAGCCCUUGUUGGCCUCUCGUGGGCCGGUGCUGAGUCCUCCGGGACAAGUGCAGAUGGCUCCCAUCCCACUGCAGGGAUCGCUGGCUGGCGACACCCACACAGACGUGGCAGGUCUACCUCCACUCCCUGCAGCGCGUGGAUGUCUCCUGCGUCGCAGGCCAGCUGACCCGCCUGUCCCUUGUCCUUCGGGGGACACAGACAGUGAGGAAAGUGAGAGCUUUCACCUCUCAUCCCCAGGAGCUGAAGGUACGGCCUCUCUGGGGGCUGUUCUGAGCCUCUCCCCAACCCCAGCCUGGAGACGGGCAGUGGGCAUUCAGCUGGAGCACAGUGGGUGGCCCUGACAGCAGCUUUUCCAGCGCCUCCAGCGCGCAGACGCUGUUACCAGAGGCCUCUCGGCAGUUGCCUUUCGUUAGAUGUGCCAUUGUGGGGUGAGUGACGUACACACCAACCCCAAAGGCCGGUGUUCAGAAUUCCUGGCAAGGUGAACAGUGACAGGAGCUCUGGUGUUAGUGAAGCCACAGUUAGACGGGGUGGGAGGGCGGCCCCUGGUGCCACCAGCUGGCCGGGGUUUUAAGCCCAAGAUGGCUUCAGUUCUGUCUGCGGAGGCAGCGCUUAGGGAAUAGUCGCCGUGUGAGAGGAGGGACUUGCCUGGUGUGGACCCAAGUCGCGGCCACAGUCAUGUCAGGGUUGGUUGUGGCCUCAGAUUUGGCCGCCCCGGAACCACCCAUGACCUUGGGCUCCCCUGGCUGAUUGGGCUGCAGGCGCCCAGGAGCCCCUUGCUUGCACAUCCUGAGAGGCUGUGCUCUGACCCGCCUCUCUCGCUCUUGAAGACAGACCCCAAAGGUGUCUUCGUGCUGCCGCCUCGUGGGGUGCAGGACCUGCAUGUUGGCGUGAGGCCCCUUAGGGCCGGCAGCCGCUUUGUCCAUCUCAACCUGGUGGACGUGGAUUGCCACCAGCUGGUGGCCUCCUGGCUCGUGUGCCUCUGCUGCCGCCAGCCGCUCAUCUCCAAGGCCUUUGAGAUCAUGUUGGCUGCGGGCGAAGGGAAGGGUGUCAACAAGAGGAUCACCUACACCAACCCCUACCCCUCCCGGAGGACAUUCCACCUGCACAGCGACCACCCGGAGCUGCUGCGGUUCAGAGAGGACUCCUUCCAGGUGUGGUGGGGCUGUGCCUGGGACUCCUAGGGGAAGACCCGGGGACCUGAAUGGAGGGCAGUUAGCCUGCAUUUAGGAGCGAGUUCCUCAAAUCACCAGCAGUCUUCCAAAAGCCCCAGGGCGGUGACAGGUACCAUCCCAUAGUUGGGUGGGCCCGUUGUAUCUUUAGUAGCUGGAGAUUUAGCAAAGUUUCUCCUGAGUGUGGGAAAGGGUGUUGUGCCCAGGGCUUUUCAUGGUAAUGUUAGACAGCUCAGUCUCGGAAAUAAGUGUGCCUUCGAGUCCAAGUAACGCGUCACACUGGCUGAGCACUGGUUCCCAUCCUUGUACCGGGCGCUGAAGUCAAAGGCAGGCCUUGGAUGCACCCGCAGGGCUCCCCUGCCUUGUCAGCUCCCCUUGGAAAUAAACACGACCAUGCAGAGAGGUUGCUGGUGAGAGCGUGGGACAGCCCGGGGGUGGAUGCUGGGAUUUGGAUGCUUAUUUCCAGGUCGGGGGUGGAGAGACCUACACCAUCGGCUUGCAGUUUGCGCCUAGUCAGAGAGUGGGUGAGGAGGAGAUCCUGAUCUACAUCAAUGACCAUGAGGACAAAAACGAAGAGGCAUUUUGCGUGAAGGUCAUCUACCAGUGAGGGCUUGAGGGUGACGUCCUUCCUGCGGCACCCAGCUGGGGCCUGUCUGUGCCCCUCCUGCCCUGCAGGCUGUCCUCCCCGCCUCUCUGCAGCCUUUCACUUCAGUGCCCACCUGGCUGACCUGUGCACUUGGCUGAGGAAGCAGAGACCGAGCGCUGGUCAUUUUGUAGUACCUGCAUCCAGCUUAGCUGCUGCUGACACCCAGCAGGCCUGGGUUCCGUGAGCGCGAACUCCGUGGUGGUGGGUCUGGCUCUGGUGCUGCCAUCUACGCAUGUGGGACCCUCGUUAUCGCUGUUGCUCAAAAUGUAUUUUAUGAAUCAUCCUAAAUGAGAAAAUUAUGUUUUUCUUACUGGAUUUUGUACAAACAUAAUCUAUUAUUUGCUAUGCAAUAUUUUAUGCUGGUAUUAUAUCUGUUUUUUAAAUUGUUGAACAAAAUACUAAACUUUUACACGUC
This 3967-nucleotide long non-coding RNA is filed under the name Homo sapiens (human). Its description in RNAcentral is "non-protein coding lnc-NPHP4-4:3". Lineage: Eukaryota; Metazoa; Chordata; Mammalia; Primates; Hominidae. The record is from RNAcentral.